CUUUAAGAUCAUCGUUUAAAGUAAAGCCUGCUCAAUGACAAGAAUAAAUAGCCGCAGUACCACUGUGCUAAGGUAGCAUAAUAACUUGCUUCUUAAUUAGAAGAUAGAAUGAAGGGUCAAACACCAAAUAUAUGUAUCUAUAGAUUACAAUAAACCUAAGAAAAAAGUAAAAACUCUUUUAAUCAAAAGCGGGACGACAAGACCCUUAUAAACUUUACAUUUAGUUGGGGAAACAAAACAAUAAAUUUUUAUUAAGACAAAACUACAUAACUUUAAAAAAAAUUAAGAAUAGUUACUAAAGGGAUAACAGCGCUAUCUCUUUUAAGAGCCCUUAUCUAAAAAGAAGAUUACGACCUCGAUGUUGAAUUAAUUUACCUAUUUAGCGCAAAAGCCUAAUAAGGUAGUCCGUUCGACUAUUAAAAAAUU
RNAcentral lists this ribosomal RNA (426 nucleotides) under Pholcus doucki. RNAcentral's name for it is "partial 16S ribosomal RNA". It matches the Rfam family "Archaeal large subunit ribosomal RNA", at positions 1911 to 2666 of the family's 2987-position model. Lineage: Eukaryota; Metazoa; Arthropoda; Arachnida; Araneae; Pholcidae. The record is from RNAcentral.